UGGUUUCUCUUCAGAUCAUAUAAAUCUUUUGUCUUUUACUAAAGAUUUCCAGGGAGAGGAACAUUUAU
RNAcentral lists this small nuclear RNA (68 nucleotides) under Gopherus agassizii (Agassiz's desert tortoise). Its description in RNAcentral is "U5 spliceosomal RNA (ENSGAGG00000004457.1)". It matches the Rfam family "U5 spliceosomal RNA", at positions 7 to 74 of the family's 117-position model. From Rfam's summary of the family: U5 RNA is a component of both types of known spliceosome. The precise function of this molecule is unknown, though it is known that the 5' loop is required for splice site selection and p220 binding, and that both the 3' stem-loop and the Sm site are important for Sm protein binding and cap methylation. Lineage: Eukaryota; Metazoa; Chordata; Testudines; Testudinidae. The record is from RNAcentral.